AUUGAACGCUGGCGGCAUGCUUUACACAUGCAAGUCGAACGGUAACAGGCCGCAAGGUGCUGACGAGUGGCGAACGGGUGAGUAAUGCAUCGGAACGUGCCCAGUCGUGGGGGAUAACUACUCGAAAGAGUAGCUAAUACCGCAUACGAUCUAUGGAUGAAAGCGGGGGACCGUAAGGCCUCGCGCGAUUGGAGCGGCCGAUGUCAGAUUAGGUAGUUGGUGGGGUAAAGGCUCACCAAGCCAACGAUCUGUAGCUGGUCUGAGAGGACGACCAGCCACACUGGGACUGAGACACGGCCCAGACUCCUACGGGAGGCAGCAGUGGGGAAUUUUGGACAAGGGGGGCAAGCCUGAUCCAGCAAUGCCGCGUGCAGGAAGAAGGCCUUCGGGUUGUAAACUGCUUUUGUACGGAACGAAACGGCUCUGGUUAAUACCCGGGGCUAAUGACGGUACCGUAAGAAUAAGCACCGGCUAACUACGUG
This 482-nucleotide ribosomal RNA is filed under the name uncultured bacterium. Its description in RNAcentral is "partial 16S ribosomal RNA". It matches the Rfam family "Bacterial small subunit ribosomal RNA", at positions 30 to 507 of the family's 1533-position model. The record is from RNAcentral.